ACCAGUGUAACACAGUGGUAAGGAGUAGGGCUCGUAACCGUAAGGUUGUUGGUUCGAUUCCCUGUUGGGA
Non-coding RNA from Megalops atlanticus (tarpon), 70 nucleotides. The record is from the annotation of a GenBank genome assembly. Lineage: Eukaryota; Metazoa; Chordata; Actinopteri; Elopiformes; Megalopidae.